AGAGUUUGAUCCUGGCUCAGGAUGAACGCUGGCGGCGUGCUUAACACACGCAAGUCGAACGGGAAUUACUUUAUUGAAACUUCGGUCGAUAUGAUUUAAUUCUAGUGGCGGACGGGUGAGUAACGCGUGGGUAACCUGCCUUGUACAGGGGGAUAACAGUCAGAAAUGACUGCUAAUACCGCAUAAGCGCACAGGACCGCAUGGUCCGGUGUGAAAAACUCCGGUGGUAUAAGAUGGACCCGCGUUGGAUUAGCUAGUUGGUGAGGUAACGGCCCACCAAGGCGACGAUCCAUAGCCGGCCUGAGAGGGUGAACGGCCACAUUGGGACUGAGACACGGCCCAGACUCCUACGGGAGGCAGCAGUGGGGAAUAUUGCACAAUGGGGGAAACCCUGAUGCGGCGACGCCGCGUGAGCGAAGAAGUAUUUCGGUAUGUAAAGCUCUAUCAGCAGGGAAGAAAAUGACGGUACCUGACUAAGAAGCCCCGGCUAACUACGUGCCAGCAGCCGCGGUAAUACGUAGGGGGCAAGCGUUAUCCGGAUUUACUGGGUGUAAAGGGAGCGUAGACGGAAUGGCAAGUCUGAUGUGAAAGGCCGGGGCUCAACCCCGGGACUGCAUUGGAAACUGUCAAUCUAGAGUACCGGAGGGGUAAGUGGAAUUCCUAGUGUAGCGGUGAAAUGCGUAGAUAUUAGGAGGAACACCAGUGGCGAAGGCGGCUUACUGGACGGUAACUGACGUUGAGGCUCGAAAGCGUGGGGAGCAAACAGAAUUAGAUACCCUGGUAGUCCACGCCGUAAACGAUGAAUAAAAGGUGUUGGGGAGCGAAGCUCUUCGGUGCAGCAGCAAACCCAAUUAGUAUUCCACAUGGGGAGUACGUUCGCAAGAAUGAAAACUGAAAGGAAUAGACGGGGACCCGCACAAGCGGUGGAGCAUGUGGUUUAAUUCGAAGCGAACGCGAAGGACCUUACCAAGUAUUGACAUCCCUCUGACCGGAACUUAACCGUUCCUUUCCUUCGGGACAGAGGAGACAGGUGGUGCAAGGUAGUUGUCAGCUCGUGUCGUGAGAUGUAGGGUUAAGUCCAGCAACGAGCGCAACCCCUAUCCCCAGUAGCCAGCGGUUCGGCCGGGCACUCUGAGAAGACUGCCAGGGAUAACCUGGAGGAAGGCGGGGAUGACGUCAAAUCAUCAUGCCCCUUAUGAUUUGGGCUACACACGUGCUACAAUGGCGUAAACAAAGGGAAGCGAACCUGCGAGGGUGGGCAAAUCCCAAAAAUAACGUCCCAGUUCGGACUGUAGUCUGCAACCCGACUACACGAAGCUGGAAUCGCUAGUAAUCGCGGAUCAGAAUGCCGCGGUGAAUACGUUCCCGGGUCUUGCACACACCGCCCGUCA
This 1391-nucleotide ribosomal RNA is filed under the name uncultured bacterium. RNAcentral's name for it is "bacterial SSU rRNA". It matches the Rfam family "Bacterial small subunit ribosomal RNA". The record is from RNAcentral.